GGACCAGUGGUAUAGUGGUAACACGCUGCUCUGGGUGCGAAGAGGAAUGGUUCGAUUCCCUUCUGGUUCA
This 70-nucleotide transfer RNA is filed under the name Gongylonema pulchrum. It matches the Rfam family "tRNA". Rfam says of the family: Transfer RNA (tRNA) molecules are approximately 80 nucleotides in length. Their secondary structure includes four short double-helical elements and three loops (D, anti-codon, and T loops). The record is from Rfam by way of RNAcentral. Lineage: Eukaryota; Metazoa; Nematoda; Chromadorea; Rhabditida; Gongylonematidae.